This 207-nucleotide long non-coding RNA is filed under the name Nicotiana benthamiana. RNAcentral's name for it is "long non-coding RNA (NBEN_LNC016090)". The record is from RNAcentral. Lineage: Eukaryota; Viridiplantae; Streptophyta; Magnoliopsida; Solanales; Solanaceae.
GUCCGAGGAUACCUUGCGGUUGAGAUUAUUCCCUUUCUCUCUUCGAGGGAAGGCAUUAGAUUGGCUGGAGAGACUCCCCAACCACUCCAUCCAUACAUGGGAUGAGUUUGAGGACAAAUUCAUUGCAAAUGUUUUCUCACCGGGUCACAUGGAAACCAUAAGGGAUGAAAUCUUAGCCUUGAAAUAGGAGCCCGACGAUCAACUACA